Molecule: long non-coding RNA, 542 nt
Organism: Pseudopipra pipra
Lineage: Eukaryota; Metazoa; Chordata; Aves; Passeriformes; Pipridae
Exons: 3
Source: RefSeq, a predicted model, not a curated record
GACAUGCAGCUAUGACAUACUGAUGUUUCACAGAUACCACAGAGGUCACAUGAAGGCUCUUUUUGUACAUGGUGCUCCUCAAAAAGAUACCAACAAUGUAAGACUGUUUCAAGCCUAAGUAACUUCUCCCUCUGAGCUCUAGGGCAGAAGCAGUUCACUGAACACUGAUUGCUUAGGGCUCCACAGGAAAUUGUAUGUUUGAAGAACAACCCUUUUCUGCCACAGGGAAUCCAAUCAUAUCAAUACAGGGAAAAAAGAAAAAAAAAGGGAAAAACAAAGAAAAAAGAAAAAAAAAAGGGAAAAACAAAGAAAAAAAAGAAAAAAGAAGUAAUUCUGCUUAUUUUCAGAAGGAAGCAAGUGAAAUUAUGGACUCAAAAGCCAGGAGAUGCAUGUAGAAAAUGCAGCAGUGGGAGAGAAUAUACACCAAAUGAUGGACAUUAAAAAAAUAACUUCUACUAAAAAACCAACGUGUCUUUGCCUUGGUGAUGCUACCAGAGCUAGUUCUAACUGAAUAUACUUCUUUUAUUUCCAGAAUAUGAAAU